RNAcentral lists this ribosomal RNA (253 nucleotides) under uncultured bacterium. Its description in RNAcentral is "partial 16S ribosomal RNA". It matches the Rfam family "Bacterial small subunit ribosomal RNA", at positions 524 to 776 of the family's 1533-position model. The record is from RNAcentral.
UACGUAGGGUGCGAGCGUUAAUCGGAAUUACUGGGCGUAAAGCGUGCGCAGGCGGCUUUGCAGGACAGAUGUGAAAUCCCCGGGCUCAACCUGGGAACUGCAUUUGUGACUGCAAGGCUAGAGUACGGCAGAGGGGGAUGGAAUUCCGCGUGUAGCAGUGAAAUGCGUAGAUAUGCGGAGGAACACCAAUGGCGAAGGCAAUCCCCUGGGCCUGUACUGACGCUCAUGCACGAAAGCGUGGGGAGCAAACAGG